RNAcentral lists this long non-coding RNA (221 nucleotides) under Carica papaya (papaya). RNAcentral describes it as "long non-coding RNA (CPAP_LNC004974)". The record is from RNAcentral. Lineage: Eukaryota; Viridiplantae; Streptophyta; Magnoliopsida; Brassicales; Caricaceae.
CCAGCACCUACUGCAUUGAAUCAGCAGAACAAGAGACCAAUGCCCACAAGUCAAGCUCCCUCCUAGGCCCCAGUGAUAGAACGCAACACGAUUUACCAGCACUAUGGCAGGAAUCAUGGAGACCAACCUUGCUAUCGCUUCAACAAUACCUGUUGCAUAUGCAAGAGUACCUAGCACUACGCAAGAGACUGUCCAUAAAAUUAAAAUCAGGACAGACCCGC